CGGCGGCUGCCGGGGUUUGCGGUGAUGCUGUCGGUGACGGCGGCGGCGCGGUGGAGGCCGCGGUCGUCGCC
Molecule: transfer RNA, 71 nt
Filed under: Streptomyces filipinensis
Lineage: Bacteria; Bacillati; Actinomycetota; Actinomycetes; Kitasatosporales; Streptomycetaceae
Description: tRNA-Thr
Source: RNAcentral